RNAcentral lists this ribosomal RNA (191 nucleotides) under uncultured bacterium. Its description in RNAcentral is "partial 16S ribosomal RNA". It matches the Rfam family "Bacterial small subunit ribosomal RNA", at positions 521 to 711 of the family's 1533-position model. The record is from RNAcentral.
UGAUACGUAGGGUCCGAGCGUUGUCCGGAAUUAUUGGGCGUAAAGGGCUUGUAGGCGGUUUGUCACGUCGGAAGUGAAAACUCAGGGCUCAACCCUGAGCCUGCUUCCGAUACGGGCAAACUAGAGGAAUGCAGGGGAGAACGGAAUUCCUGGUGGAGCGGUGGAAUGCGCAGAUAUCAGGAGGAACACCG